RNAcentral lists this ribosomal RNA (254 nucleotides) under uncultured bacterium. RNAcentral describes it as "partial 16S ribosomal RNA". It matches the Rfam family "Bacterial small subunit ribosomal RNA", at positions 524 to 776 of the family's 1533-position model. The record is from RNAcentral.
UACGUAGGGAGCGAGCGUUGUCCGGAUUUAUUGGGCGUAAAGAGCGCGUAGGCGGCUCGGUAAGCCGGAUGUGAAACCUCCAAGCUCAACUUGGAGCGGCCAUUCGGAACUGCUGUGGCUAGAGUCUGGUAGGGGAACACGGAAUUCCUGGUGUAGCGGUGAAAUGCUUAGAUAUCAGGAGGAACACCGGUGGCGAAGGCGGGUCUCUGGGCCGAUACUGACGCUGAGGAGCGAAAGCAUGGGUAGCGAACAGG